GUGGGGAAUAUUCCGCAAUGGACGAAAGUCUGACGGAGCAACGCCGCGUGAGUGAUGAAGGUUUUCGGACUGUAAAGCUCUGUUGUUUGGGACGAAAGUGCCUGUUGCGAACAGUUACGGGUAUUGACGGUACUAAACGAGGAAGCCACGGCUAACUACGUGCCAGCAGCCGCGGUAAUACGUAGGUGGCAAGCGUUGUCCGGAAUUAUUGGGCGUAAAGAGCAUGUAGGCGGGAAUCUAAGUCUGUUGUGAAAAUGCGGGGCUCAACCCCGUAUUGCGAUGGAAACUGGGUUUCUUGAGUGCAGGAGAGGAAAGGGGAAUUCCCAGUGUAGCGGUGAAAUGCGUAGAUAUUGGGAGGAACACCAGUGGCGAAGGCGCCUUUCUGGACUGUGUCUGACGCUGAGAUGCGAAAGCCAGGGUAGCGAACGGGAUUAGAAACCCGUGUAGUCC
This 450-nucleotide ribosomal RNA is filed under the name uncultured bacterium. RNAcentral describes it as "partial 16S ribosomal RNA". It matches the Rfam family "Bacterial small subunit ribosomal RNA", at positions 354 to 796 of the family's 1533-position model. The record is from RNAcentral.